GGAUAGCAUGUGCACAUCUAUCAUCCAAAUACACACACACCUGUGCACCUAUUGUAGAUCGAGAGAUCUAUGUUUUACUACACUACCAAACAAUGUAUGUCUUAGAAUGUUAUCAUAUUUUACAACUUUCAGCGACGGAUCUCUUGGCUCUUGCAUCGAUGAAGAACGCAGCGAAUUGCGAUAAGUAAUGUGAAUUGCAGAUUUUCAGUGAAUCAUCGAAUCUUUGAACGCACCUUGCGCUCCUUGGUAUUCCGAGGAGCAUGCCUGUUUGAGUGUCAUUUAAUUAUCAACCGAAUGUCUGUUCGGAUUGGAGUUGGGUUUGCUGGCUUUGGGUAGUCAGCUUUCCUUAAAUGUAUUAGCAAGUCAAGUCUUGACGUGGGCGGCUAGAGUCUGACGUGAUUAAUCAUCUUAUCGUCGGUGGGCCAGAAGUGUCAUUAGGAAGCUUGUUUCAUCAGUGGGGGUGAAGGAUGGUAUUGAUGUGCAAGCAUCACUACCCUAGUGGGUCGAGUCUGGUACAUUUAUUUAAUAGAGGGCUUGGAAUAGUAGUGUGCCCGGGUUGAUGAUGGUAUAGUCUAUCGAAAAGUAAUACUUAAUAGAGGACUGGGCCUAAUUGACCUUGGUGUACGAAAAACCAAGCUUAUCGAACGGUAGAAUCUAGGCAACUCACUACCGAAUUGGCAUGCAAGUGUCAUAUUAGGAAACUCACUAUCCAUUACCAUUUUCAUUUUGACCUCAAAUCAGGUAGGACUACCCGCUGAACUUAAGCAUAUCAAUAAGCGGAGGAAAAGAAACUAACAAGGAUUCCCCUAGUAACUGCGAGUGAAGCGGGAAAAGCUCAAAUU
The sequence is a ribosomal RNA, 842 nucleotides long. The stretch from base 124 to 278 matches the Rfam family "5.8S ribosomal RNA".